UAGGGAAUUUUGCGCAAUGGGCGAAAGCCUGACGCAGCAACACCGCGUGAAGGAUGAAGCCCUUUGGGGUGUAAACUUCUGUCAGUGGGGAAGAAAUUUUGACGGUACCCACAGAGGAAGCAUCGGCUAACUACGUGCC
Molecule: ribosomal RNA, 139 nt
Filed under: uncultured bacterium
Lineage: Bacteria
Description: partial 16S ribosomal RNA
Rfam family: Bacterial small subunit ribosomal RNA
Source: RNAcentral